AAUUAUCACCCGUACAACACAACCUAAAGCUAGCUUAAAAAAAAAAACAAAAAAACAACACAACAAAACAUGACAAAGAGAUGUGAUUACAAAAACCUUUUCAUUUUCUGCACCAAAGAUCUGAAACAUGUGGAAAUGAAACUUUCACCAAGUUCUCAUAUAUCACGAACAGAUCUAUAAUUGACAAGCUAUUAUAAUUAUUUAUAUUUUAUUAAAAUCAACUCAUGAUUAAACUGACCGCGUUCAAAAAUGCAUUAUUUAUUAGUUUGUAUUAUUCAUUAUUAUGUUAUUUGUAAUAAAAACUGCCGUGUCAAUUGAACCAACCGUGUUGAUAGUUAAAGAUAGUAGUGAGUCUUUUCAUAUCGGUGAGCUGAGUAACAAUCUGGCAACCCAGUCUGGGAACGCGCAGGCGCAAUGCAUUUUAACGUGAGCGCCGCUGACUUUGGUCAUGACCGAUGAAUUAUUGACGUUUCUCAGAUAUGACGCAGGCUAAACAAGCAGCCGACGUCAUGGACUCGUGUCAAUGUGUAUGCUUCACAUGUUAAAAACACUUAUGCAGCAGAGGGCUCUAAAUAUGACAAUCCGGCCUUUAUCAGAACUCCAGCAUGGUGUGGAAAAUGAUGCAGUUUCACAAAACAAACUAUGACCUACACACAUGGGCACAAUGGACCUCUGAAGCCACAUGCAUAGGAUUUGUUUACCUGGUUAUGUAUUAGAAUCAGCCUCGACUGCAACUGCAUCUGUCCCAGCCGCCUACCGUAUGACAGAUUACUUUUCCGAAGGUGCCGCCUGGAUUGGCUCACGUGCAGCUGAUGGGUGAGCUAAACUAGCAGCUCACAGUGUGAGAAAAAGAAUGAGAAGGACCCAAAACACAGUGCUGGUAAUGUUUAAUGACAGUUAUGAGUGGUUAUGUGCGUGUGUUUUUGUAGGACACUGAAUUCACUGAAUGUGAUGUCCUGACUCUUUCUUAAGAAAAUAGUAAUAAAAUAAAACUUUAGUGGUAGUGCUUUUGAAAAUAAAAAAGAAU
This is a long non-coding RNA of Tachysurus fulvidraco (yellow catfish), 1027 nucleotides long. RefSeq lists it as uncharacterized. The transcript is spliced from 3 exons. Lineage: Eukaryota; Metazoa; Chordata; Actinopteri; Siluriformes; Bagridae. The record is from RefSeq and is a predicted model, not a curated record.